AAGCAAAUAAGGGCGUAUGGUGGAUGCCUUGACUCUAAGAGGCGAUGAAGGACGUGGUAAGCUGCGAUAAGCCAGGGGGAACUGCACACGAGUAAUAUAUCCCUGGAUUUCCGAAUGGGACAACCUGUUACACUGAAGGUGUGACACUCCAGCAAUGGAGAGCCAACCCGGGGAACUGAAACAUCUAAGUACCCGGAGGAAAAGAAAAUAAUAAUGAUUCCCUGAGUAGUGGCGAGCGAAACGGGAAGAGCCCAAACCAUAGUGGCGUGCUGCUGUGGGGUUAUAGGACUGCAUUUAGAAUUACUCAUCAAACUGAAUCAUCUGGAAAGAUGAGCCAUAGCGGGUGAAAGCCCUGUAGGUAUAAAUUGAGUAGGACGAGCAGUAUCCUGAGUAAGGCGGGACCGGAGAAAUCCUGCCUGAAUUUGCCGGCACCAUCCGGUAAGGCUAAAUACUCCUUAGAGAUCGAUAGUGAACCAGUACCGUAAGGGAAAGGUGAAAAGCACCCCAAACAGGGGAGUGAAAUAGUACCUGAAACCGUGCGCCUACA
Molecule: ribosomal RNA, 547 nt
Filed under: Ochromonas sp. CCMP1393
Lineage: Eukaryota; Chrysophyceae; Chromulinales; Chromulinaceae
Description: partial Bacterial large subunit ribosomal RNA
Rfam family: Bacterial large subunit ribosomal RNA
Source: RNAcentral